This 138-nucleotide ribosomal RNA is filed under the name uncultured Pleurocapsa sp. Its description in RNAcentral is "partial 16S ribosomal RNA". It matches the Rfam family "Bacterial small subunit ribosomal RNA", at positions 355 to 507 of the family's 1533-position model. The record is from RNAcentral. Lineage: Bacteria; Bacillati; Cyanobacteriota; Cyanophyceae; Pleurocapsales; Pleurocapsaceae.
UGGGGAAUUUUCUGCAAUGGGCGCAAGCCUGACAGAGCAAUACCGCGUGAGGGAUGACAGCUCUAUGAGUUGUAAACCUCUUUUUUCAGGGAGGAAGUUCUGACGUUACCUGAAGAAUAAGCAUCGGCUAACUCCGUG